Molecule: ribosomal RNA, 409 nt
Filed under: uncultured bacterium
Lineage: Bacteria
Description: bacterial SSU rRNA
Rfam family: Bacterial small subunit ribosomal RNA
Source: RNAcentral
ACCUGGGAACUGCAGUGGAUACUGGGCGACUAGAGUGUGGUAGAGGGUAGCGGAAUUCCUGGUGUAGCAGUGAAAUGCGUAGAGAUCAGGAGGAACAUCCAUGGCGAAGGCAGCUACCUGGACCAACACUGACACUGAGGCACGAAAGCGUGGGGAGCAAACAGGAUUAGAUACCCUGGUAGUCCACGCCCUAAACGAUGCGAACUGGAUGUUGGGUGCAAUUUGGCACGCAGUAUCGAAGCUAACGCGUUAAGUUCGCCGCCUGGGGAGUACGGUCGCAAGACUGAAACUCAAAGGAAUUGACGGGGGCCCGCACAAGCGGUGGAGUAUGUGGUUUAAUUCGAUGCAACGCGAAGAACCUUACCUGGCCUUGACAUGUCGAGAACUUUCCAGAGAUGGAUGGGUGCUU